Molecule: long non-coding RNA, 255 nt
Organism: Vidua chalybeata
Lineage: Eukaryota; Metazoa; Chordata; Aves; Passeriformes; Viduidae
Exons: 2
Source: RefSeq, a predicted model, not a curated record
UUGGGCUUGCAUUUGGUUCAUUCUCUGCCAUGGGAGUGGGAGAAAGCGAGGCCUUGAGAUAUCCAGUACAUGUUUAUCCAGCUGCAGUAGCUUGAUUCUCAAAUUUUGCAUUCCUGACUGAGCAGCCACAGUACUCGAAGCAUGGAGAGCAGCGCGAGUCAAUCCAGGCUGACUGCGGUGGAAAAAAAAUGUACCAAAACCAUGGGCUCCCAGAACAGACUGUUCAAUGCUAAUUUUAAAUCUUGAAAAACAGUA